CAUUCUUACCUCCAAGUGAUCAAUGGGUGAUCAAGAAGGCUAAUAGUCUAGGUUAGUCUUUCAUUGCACGUAGGACGUUUUCCGGUACAUCGUGAAAUGUUCGGCGGAUAUGUCUAUAAACUCUGUAAAUAAGUUACAGUCUAAUAAAAAGAUUCCCUAUCUCUAAUAAAUUUAGCUUGCUAGCACCAUUCGAGAUAAAAUCUGGUUAUAUGCUUCGGGAAUCUGACAGCCCUUACAAUCCACAAGUGUUCUUGUGUCAAGCACAGACUCAGGAGGGAAAGUUGAUGCCUCAGUCGAGUGAUAAAAAUCUGGUGCAGGGAAAUUCCUCAAGGAGAAUAUGGGAACCGAAGUGAAGUACAUAAAACAUUCGAGAAUCAAUUACAAGAUGCCUCCUAAUCUGCAGACGAACACUGAUGAAGCAAAAACUAGUGUCAAGUGUGCGCAUCUAGGGAGAAGAUUAUGAGAUAUCCCACCUCGCAGAAGAAGGAAAUGGGCUAGAAGCAAUUGGUUAUAUGACCCGAAGCAAGCUGCAAAUGACAAGCACGCAGCCGCGCGGUGAGAACAGAGCGAACUAUUCUUUCGCCUUUUACUAAAGAAUACCGUGUUCUCGCCGUAUAUCUCGGCGUACGCCUGUUUUUGGAGGGUUCUCUUCCUUCGAAGUAGACCCCUGACAAUCCUAGCUCAAAGUUUUGCCUUGCAAAUCUGAAAUUCUGGCAUGAAUAUCUAUGGUCUCAUAGCUAUAUCCAAUAAGAAUAAUCUUCUCUGGCUUGUGACUGA
This is a long non-coding RNA of Populus nigra (black poplar), 777 nucleotides long. RefSeq lists it as uncharacterized. NCBI's taxonomy places the organism in Eukaryota, Viridiplantae, Streptophyta, Magnoliopsida, Malpighiales, Salicaceae. The transcript has 2 exons. The record is from RefSeq and is a predicted model, not a curated record.